GAAGGUGUCAGGUUGUAUUGAGUAGAAGGUGUCGGGUUGUAUUGAGUAGAAGGUGUCAGGUUGUAUUGAGUAGAAGGUGUCGGGUUGUAUUGAGUAGAAGGUGUCAGGUUGUAUUGAGUAGAAGGUGUCAGGUUGUAUUGAGUAGAAGGUGUCGGGUUGUAUUGAGUAGAAGGUGUCAGGUUGUAUUGAGUAGAAGGUGUCGGGUUGUAUUGAGUAGAAGGUGUCGGGUUGUAUUGAGUAGAAGGUGUCGGGUUGUAUUGAGUAGAAGGUGUCAGGUUGUAUUGAGUAGAAGGUGUCGGGUUGUAUUGAGUAGAAGGUGUCAGGUUGUAUUGAGUAGAAGGUGUCGGGUUGUAUUGAGUAGAAGGUGUCAGGUUGUAUUGAGUAGAAGGUGUCAGGUUGUAUUGAGUAGAAGGUGUCGGGUUGUAUUGAGUAGAAGGUGUCAGGUUGUAUUGAGUAGAAGGUGUCAGGUUGUAUUGAGUAGAAGGUGUAGGGUUGUAUUGAGUAGAAGGUGUCAGGUUGUAUUGAGUAGAAGGUGUCAGGUUGUAUUGAGUAGAAGGUGUCAGGUUGUAUUGAGUAGAAGGUGUCAGGUUGUAUUGAGUAGAAGGUGUCAGGUUGUAUUGAGUAGAAGGUGUCGGGUUGUAUUGAGUAGAAGGUGUCAGGUUGUAUUGAGUAGAAGGUGUCGGGUUGUAUUGAGUAGAAGGUGUCAGGUUGUAUUGAGUAGAAGGUGUCAGGUUGUAUUGAGUAGAAGGUGUCAGGUUGUAUUGAGUAGAAGGUGUCAGGUUGUAUUGAGUAGAAGGUGUUGGGUUGUAUUGUGUCGUUUAGGCCUGGGCUCAAACAAGAGUAGUUUUCAUCUCAAGUUCUUGCAGUGUUUGCUUGAACCUGUCUGAAGUCCUUUUGACCACUACAUAUUCCAUAGCCUCUGUUGUACCAGGCACGCUGAAGUAUGUGAACGAAAACAAAUACAAUUUGAACCCAGGUAUGAUAGCGUUCAAGCGUCCUCAGAUUGACUUCACUGUCUAUGAAUAGGAUCGUGUCAUGUAGCUCAUUUGUCUGUUUAUAGUGUUGGAGGGGGGCCGGAGAGACCCACUUCCUGGGGUGUCAUCUCUCCUCUUUCAGCCGACCAAGGAACUAUUCUGAG
Long non-coding RNA from Oncorhynchus keta (chum salmon), 1138 nucleotides. RefSeq lists it as uncharacterized. Lineage: Eukaryota; Metazoa; Chordata; Actinopteri; Salmoniformes; Salmonidae. The transcript is spliced from 4 exons. The record is from RefSeq and is a predicted model, not a curated record.